Molecule: unclassified non-coding RNA, 336 nt
Filed under: soil metagenome
Description: partial contains 5.8S ribosomal RNA, internal transcribed spacer 2, and large subunit ribosomal RNA
Rfam family: 5.8S ribosomal RNA (bases 1-120)
Source: RNAcentral
GUUGAAGAACGUAGCGAAAUGCGAUAAGUAAUGUGAAUUGCAGAAUUCAGUGAAUCAUCGAAUCUUUGAACGCACAUUGCGCCCGCCAGUAUUCUGGCGGGCAUGCCUGUUCGAGCGUCAUUUCAACCAUCAAGCCCCCGGCUUGUGUUGGGGACCUGCGGCUGCCGCAGGCCCUGAAAACCAGUGGCGGGCUCGCUGUCACACCGAGCGUAGUAGAUUUUCAUCUCGCUCAGGGCGUGCUGCGGGUUCCGGCCGUAAAAAGCCUUAUUUACCCAAGGUUGACCUCGGAUCAGGUAGGAAGACCCGCUGAACUUAAGCAUAUCAAUAAGCGGAGGA